GUUUGAUCAUGGCUCAGAUUGAACGCUGGCGGCACGUAACACAUGCAAGUCGAGCGGCAGCGAAUAGUAGCAAUACUAUUUGGCGGCGAGCGGCGGACGGGUGAGGAACACGUAGGAAUCUACCCUCAAGCGGGGGACAACCAAGGGAAACUUUGGCUAAUACCGCAUAAUAUCGAGAGAUCAAAGCUGCAGCAAUGUGGCACUUGAAGAGGAGCCUGCGUCCGAUUAGCUAGUUGGUAGGGUAAAAGCCUACCAAGGCAAUGAUCGGUAACUGGUCUGAGAGGACGACCAGUCACACUGGGACUGAGACACGGCCCAGACUCCUACGGGAGGCAGCAGUGGGGAAUCUUGGACAAUGGGGGCAACCCUGAUCCAGCGAUGCCGCGUGAGUGAAGAAGGCCCUCGGGUCGUAAAGCUCUUUAGGUUGGGAAAGAAAGGUUGUUUGAGGAAAUGCUUACAACUUGACUGUACCGACAGAAUAAGCACCGGCAAACUCUGUGCCAAGCAGCCGCGUAAUACCAGAAGGGUGCGAGCCGUUAAUCGGAGUUACUGGGCGUAAAGGGUGCGUAGGCGGUUUAUGUGAGUGUUGAUGUGAAGCCCGGGCUUAACCUGGG
Molecule: ribosomal RNA, 614 nt
Filed under: uncultured bacterium
Lineage: Bacteria
Description: bacterial SSU rRNA
Rfam family: Bacterial small subunit ribosomal RNA
Source: RNAcentral